GGAGAGUUGGCUGAGUGGUCGAAAGCGGCGGUCUUGAAAGCCGUUAUCCCGUUUGUCGGGAUCGGGGGUUCGAAUCCCUCACUCUCCGCGA
This 91-nucleotide transfer RNA is filed under the name Ignavibacteria bacterium. RNAcentral describes it as "tRNA-Ser". It matches the Rfam family "tRNA". From Rfam's summary of the family: Transfer RNA (tRNA) molecules are approximately 80 nucleotides in length. Their secondary structure includes four short double-helical elements and three loops (D, anti-codon, and T loops). Lineage: Bacteria; Pseudomonadati; Ignavibacteriota; Ignavibacteria. The record is from RNAcentral.